This is a long non-coding RNA of Gallus gallus (chicken), 10867 nucleotides long. RefSeq lists it as uncharacterized. The record is from RefSeq and is a predicted model, not a curated record. The transcript is spliced from 8 exons. Lineage: Eukaryota; Metazoa; Chordata; Aves; Galliformes; Phasianidae.
GGGAAAAAGAUAAUUGAACUUUAAUUAUUAACUGUAUCCAGAGCUUAGUGUUUUUCUCAAAACUAGAAGUGAUUUUUGCUGUCUUCUUUGUAUGAGCAGGUCUGUAGAUUUAUCUCUUCUGAUGGUAUUCACAUCAGCAAUAAGUAACGCUGGAAGAAUAAAGUAUCUCAGGCUUUAUAUUAAGGAUUCAAUUAUUCUAUAUAAUUAGCCCCGAUUUAUUAAAUAUUUGAAACAUUUUCUACACUUAGGUAUGGAAUAGCAUAGCACAGUGAUCAGACCCACAAAUGACUUGUACCUUUACUCAGAAAAUGCUUCUUAUCACAUGAUAAGGAAGAUUAAUCCUAAGUCUCUCUUUCUUCUGUUUGGAUUUUAUUCCCACAAGAAAUAUCAGUUUUGUCCACAGUAUCUCAUGUAUUUCUAUUCCCUUGAAAUACAAAGAAGCAAUGGAGUCUGGUGUAAAUUAAGCAGAUUUAAUGAAAUAUAUAAAUGGUAACUUGUGCCUUGAAUAUAAAAUAACUGAGUGAAGCAUAAGGCAUUUUGCUGAUGCCAUCAUUGUCACCCUUUCCGGUUUUUCAUUCAUGUGUGUCUUUUUUUUAUUUCCUAUUGAAACAGUUAGGGGCUGUGGAGUCUUGGGAGUAAGAGUUUUUGUAUGCUACAGACACCCAAUCUUUCUGAGGUUGCAUUCUCCUGUAGUGUAUCUUCUUUUAAGGAAGCAGGAUAGACUUACCCUUCAAAAUGAGAAAAUGGUACUUCUACACUCAGCAACUGACUCUUCCCUCAUAUACAUUACAUGUUUCCAUACGAGUGAUUUCUCACCUGGUGUCUGACAGCAUCAGAAAAAAUGCCUCUCAGUAUCACUGGCAAGCACUGUAGGCUGUUGAUGUGGAAGGUGUCCUGAAUAAUUCUAAAGCCUGAAUAUUAUUUCGGGAGGUGAUGCAUUAAUUGUGGUCAUCCACAGAAGCGUGAUGUUACAGCUGAAAAGCAUGUAAUGACAGAAAUGGUAAACACUCCUUAGUAUAUAAAGACAGACUGAAGAUGUUUAACCUUCUUUCAAAUUGACAGAAUAUCCAUGUCUGCAUCUCUUUUUUUACCAAGCAGUAAGAAGUGGUGUUGCUGUCAGACAGCAGAUUACACUAAUCCAACAACUCUCACUGCUUUAAGGACUUCUCUUUAUCACAGUGUAGAUGCACAAAUUGUAGAUGCCAACUAAAGGUAUAAAAGCACUGCAUUUUAAAGUGCACUGGUUUUAAGGAAAUCUAAUUAAGAAAAUACCCUAUUUUAAAAGAUGGCUGAAAUACCAGUUGAGGAGUUCUAGAGUGUACUGUACUGCUGAGAGAAAUCACUGCAGUUGCACAAGGUCACCUCCUCCUGCCCUCCCCCUCCAUUCUUUUUCCUGAAUAUAAAUCUAAAAUGAGAUUUUGGCUAUUUAAGUAGAAAACAGAGACUAUAAGAGUCUCUCUUCUGUGGCUUGGCCCUGGAGGAACCUAAGCUCCACAAGCAACUUUACUGUUCCGUGGUGCCUAGUGUGCUGUUGCAGCACAGGCUCCAAACAGCCCUGUUUUGGCAGAUCUCAUUGCCCUGCUCCUUAAGCUUGGCUGGGACUCAGAAAUCAGAUUACUGGGAUCAGCUACCUGAGAGGGCUGGUCUGGGAAAUGUUCUCAGGCAUACAAUAACCAUGGACAGCUUUAUCUCCUCAUAAAAUGCAGUGACAGCUGCUACUGCUGGGAGGAUGGUUCAUGUCCUUUUUAUGUAACGUUUAGUGGCUAGAUAGCCAUCCAAGAAACAUCUCAGUGGGUUUGUACCCAUGUUGCCUGGUAGAAUACGUAGCUCUAACAGUAGAAGAUAGCCUGAACUAGCAAAAGAAAAUAGUGCUAGUCCUUUACUGGUUUUGCAUAUGAAAUGUGUUUGUCAGGAAUUUGAACCAGAAUCAAUUCAGUGACCCAGAAGAGAACAUGGAGUAUUCGUGUGCAGCAUGCUAUGUGCAAUUUGUCAUAGCAAACAAGCUGCCGUACAGAUACUUGCUGCAAGUGUUGCGUAACAUUCUGAGUAUACAGUUUCUUUAGCAAGCCUGCCUGACUGUAACAAAAGAAUGAAUUAAAAUGGCUAGGAGCAAGAAAAGUAGUCUUUCUGAUGGCAGUGCUGAAAUGACAUGUCUUGUGACUAUUACUCCCCAGUUCACUGUAGUCUAUACAGGAAACAGGAAAUAAAACCCUUCCUAACCCAUUAUUCCAGCUGUGUUUGGUCUGUGUUGAUUUGGUGCAUCUCUGUACAACCUAGAAAUUGUGGUUGAAUUCAUGACAUUCUUAUUAUAUUGCAAAAUGUUUCUACAUAUCUGCUUUUGCUAUCCAAACCCCUGCUGGAGGGAUAAUGGAUGCUGUACAUAGUGAAUAUGUUUCGACUUGCGUAUAAAAAGGAGUAGUAGCAGUGGGAAGAUUUGUUUUCUUCCAAAGACCUGGAAAAUGUAGAGUAGAAAAUAUCCACAUUGGCAAUAGCAUGAUGACAGUUAUUAGUUCACAGAAAGAGAGGAAAGAAAGUGUUUUUUUUUUUUUUUUUUUUUUUUUUAAAUAAUGAAAUAUUUAGCUGAGGGACCAGAGGAGGUUAGAAAAGGUGCCUCGUAUCCUAAAGCCAAGUCCUGAAAUGUAUGAGAAGAAUUUUGGACAGCAUGAACUUCUCUCAAGAGUGAAGUCCAUAGUGACAGGAAUUUGCCCAGAGCUGACACACCUCCUUUUGAAUCCCCUCACUGUCUGCUAUGCCUGCAUCACCUUCAAGUUUCACGUGAUCCCCCUGAGUUGCACAUAACUUUCUUUCUAUCCACAUUUAUGUCUUACUAUCACAAAGUAAGAACAGUCAUACAGGAUCAGACUAAACAUCUGUCUAGCCGGGUAUCCUGUUUCUGACAGCAGCCUGGGGGAGAGUAUAGGAAAAUGUCAAGCUUGUACUGAUCCUUUCUUGGUGUACUCUCCUACCUUCUACUGAAUCAUGGCUUUGGGACUUCCUGAGCCAGAGAUAAUGCUAACAUUUUUCAUCCUUCCUCUCAAUUCCAUUAGUAGUGCAAGCCUCAGAAACUUACUUUCUAUUUUAUUCAAAACCAUUUUCUUGUUUUCCUACAUACGGGAUCUUAUGCAAGCACUUUUUCUUGAGUUGAACCAUAAAGCUCCUACAUUCUUUUCUCCAUUUAAAUUCCUCUUUGGAACUCACUUCUUCCUUGACAUCCACCUGGAUAAGUCAGUAGCUAAUUAAUUUCAUUUACGUACCCUGUUCGUUUGCCACUCAUUUAUGUGAGAGGAAGGGUGUGGGGACCUCUACGGAAGCUGUGGGCUGUACAGGCUCCAGAAGGAUGGCUCCAUUUGAGCUCUGUACUAAAGAACAGGGAGGAGUUAAGGCACUCAGUCCAAGACAAAAUUCUUGAAAGCUAAUAGCUCCGGGAGCCUUUCAGCUCCAGAAACCCAGUGUUUCUGUGCAAGACGAACAUGCAGUCCAGAUCCCAGUAUGACAAGAAACAAUGCAAUUGCCACUGACACUCUUUUUGAAUGAUGUGGAUAAUCAAAUAUUAAAAUCAAAUAGUAAAACCAUCUAUUUGGCUCCUGGUGCCCUACAAGUUGUGGCUGGUUCUCUUCUAAAUCAAGCCUUGUCUGAAAAAGAUAAACGGUGUUAAACUACACACUGCCUCCCUCCCUCCCCCUUCUUUGCAGCAGGAAGUAAAUGCCUCUGUGAAAGUGCUGUGGUGUGAGCAAACACAACAUUGAGACAGGAAAUGUGUAUUCAGGAGCAUGUGAAAACCUGAAGGGAAAUGUAGGCCUAAAAAAAAAAAAACCCAUACCCAAUAACCAUUUCCCCUUUCCUGCCAAGUAUAAAGGAAAUUAAAAUUACUUGCUACUUUAAUGCACACUGAUUUUCAGAAAAUACAUUCUAGUAGUACUGUGACUGUGAAUUAGGCCAGUUAUUUCCAACUUCAGUACUGGCAGGUCUGCUUGGAGAACUUGAUAAGCCCAUGCCAGUAUUGUAGGAUAGUGGAUCCACAAUCUUUGCAGCUGUAAUGUGUAUGUCUCUAGGCUCCUAAAUUUGAACUACUGCCCUUAUCACUGUACUGUUAUAAUUCUGAUUAGGCAAAUUCUUAUCUUAAUAGACAGGAAGAAAUCAGGAAGGAGGAGGUGAUCUUUAAAAAAUUUAUACAUAGGAAGGAAGCAAGAGACAUUACUGAAUCAUUCUUUGUCACGUGGUGACCAUCUUCAGCUGUGACAGAGUUUAUCAUUUUUUCUCUUGCUAUUUUUUACAUGCUGAUAGUUUCAAUUUAACUGAUUAAGUCACUGGAACACAAGAUGAAGUCUGUGUGUUAUCUAAUCCAGUUCUGACCCAUACUCUCCUGUCUCUGUGGGAAGGUUCCUUUCUGCUUUAGCAUCUUCUCGGCUAAUUUGGAUGAUCUUAAACCUAUCCAUAUUUUGUGAUAUAAGACAGGUCAAAAAUAUGUCCUCAUCAUUCACUCUAGGCAAAUUAGAAGAUGUUGAAAUGGUUUGCCUUCUAGGCAAACUCAUAAUUGUAUUACUCAAAUGUUUGACUGUGAAAACAGUGACAUUUCUCCUUUCAUUGUCAUAGGAAAAACAGUCUGAAAUCACCUGAUUUUCCAUCUUCCCCUUCACUUCCAACUCUCAACAAUUUUGAUGGCAUGCAGCUGUCUUUAUGCAUCUCAGUUUUACAGACUGGUCCUCCUCCUACAUCAGCUUCAAAUAUAGACUCCUCCUGUUUUUGUGCCAUGUUUUUGCUGUUGCUAGCCAUCUCUCAAGUCAGUCAAAUACCGCAGUACUUGCUAGUGAGAAACAGACACAAGAAUCAGGUGAAAAACUUGGCUGCAAUAAAUGGGAGAAAAAAAAAGUCUCUCUGUCAUAAGCAAGUUAUAUCCCACUUUUGCAUUCUGUGAGUAAACUCAUAUUUGUUGAGAUCAAUUUUCAAGAGAUUGACAAUAGGUUCAUUUUACGUUUUCUAGACCCAAACUACUUCUGUGUAGAGUAGGUCGAAGGCCACUUGGUAGAGACAUAGCAGCGGUGCCUAUUAGUCUGCUCUGUUUUCAAGUUUUCAGUUGUACAGGAUUACAUACUUGCCAAAAGAAGAGUGUUAUCCUAAAUUUCAGGGUUGGGAUUUUUUGUUAAUGCAAAGUAAAUAUUUCCAUGCUUUGGAACAGUGAAAUUGUAGUGGACUAGAAAGUAUUUGGAGGUGAGAGUUUUUCAGAAGUAAAACUUGUGUUUUUUUUAUUAUCCUCCUGAAUUGGACUAAUGUCAUACCAACAAAAUAAAGUAGCUGCUAUGCUUUUAUCAGGAUCAGAGCUUUAGUCAUAGUUUUAUCAGUGUUACUAUUUUGGGGAAAUAAAGCCAUUCACCUUCUAACUUCUGUAUGCAUAUCUCUGAUUUAAAAAUAAACAAAAAGCCACUGCACUCAAGUACAGUGCAGUACUAUUCCUUAUAAUCCAUUUAUGUCCUUUUUUUUUUUUUUUUUUUUUUUUUUAAUUAAUUGGAAUGAUGGUGGGUGUUGAUCUAGAGGAGACAAACAGACAGUUCAUAUGCCAAAACCUCAGUUAGGACCACAGACUGAAAAUAACAAUAAAUAACCGCAUGCAGCUGUGGCUGUUGCCAGCUGGCAUGCUUUCUUUGCUGGUCUGCCAUGCACAUCUGCAAAUAUUUUAUUAAUGAUAAAAGCAGCAUUGGCCUCUUAGUACUGAAUCUUUCCCUGCAUUUCUGGUUUGGAAAACUUGCACUAUGAUUCCUCUUCCUCUUAUUACAACUACUAUUGUUAUUAAUUGUAGCAUAGUCAUGUUUAAGACAUGAACUGUGACCUCCAGUGCUAACUGCUACAAAAAUACACCAAAGAGAUGGUUCUUGCUUCUGACAAAUUUACCCUCUGACACAUGAGAUAAGACAAGAUGCAUGGGUGGAAAAUAUAGUGAAAUCAUAUUCAGCACAGUGUAUAGAAGCUGAGCAUGUCAUUAUCUUUAGUACUGCUGAGGUUUUUGAAGGACUAAAGUGAAAGGAGAGGAUGAAGGUAGGCUUGUAUGAGGAUAAUGAAAUUGCUUUGCUGUUGUUAUUAAGGAUUUCUUGCCUCUUAUGGAGAACACUGCAGAGAGCAUCAGCAGUUACUCAAAAAGAGAAACAAGUAUGCAUGGGAGGUAUCAUGGGUGAGUUAGGGACUUGAAUUAGUCUCUAAAUGUACAAAGUAGAUACAGGUCUCCGAGGCAUGGACUAUACAUGCAAGUAAAGAUGAAAAGAAGUGUCUUACGUUUGAAUGUGUGACAAAUGAUACCCUGAUAAUAGUGAAGGAAUGUCCAGUGAGAUGGACUAGUCUCCAGAGUGCUAAUGGCAUGGGGCUGUGCCUUGUGGACAUUCAGAUUCUGAAUCCCCUCUUUCACUCCUGCUUUAUCUUCAUCAGGUGGGGUGGCUGUUGGAAUCAACUUUGUGUGGAUACUGAGCAUCACCCGAUUCACUAUGAAAGUAUUUCUGGCCUUUCAGUAGCCCUAUCUGAGCUAAUCUGGCCCAGCCCAGCACUGUUGUCGAAACUGCACAAUUUGUACACAUCCAUGGAUUUAGCUGUAGCUUUGUACAGUGUAGUGUUGUUGGUGCUGCUGGAGUUGCAGUUUUAAGUUCAUAUUCUGGAGCUGUACUAUGAUGUUCAUGAGCCCAUUAAUGGAUGCUGCUGGUACUCUGGAUUAUCAACCUAUAGGUGUUCUGCUAUGCCAGCUUCCUUCCCUCUACCAGCUUCAGUGUGCUCUAACCCCUUUGCUGACCACAUUCCCUACUUUCCAAACCACAUCCUUGGUCCUGUGCUCCUCCUCUUCCUCGCUCUUCUGCAAGGAACUUCACUGCCCAUGGCAUGCACUGCAAGGCUUGGAGAUAGCUGUCAUAUGUCUUGAUUUUGAAUGGUGGUAAUGAAGGACUGGUAAUACAACCACUUUUUUUUUUUUUUUUUAAUUUCUAACUUCAAUAAUUAUGAAUUUUAAUAUGAAUUUUAAUUUACGUUUAUUCACUGAAAUUAUGUCUCUGUUGUACUGACUGUGUAGUUUACCAUAGGCUUUAUUUGCUAUAUUUUAAAGCUCACUGCCUGCUAUCUUAUCAAUUGUUCUAUAGAUACGUAAAGAUCUCUGAAAGCAGUUAUAUAGGGUGAAUUAGCAGUGCAUGGUAUAUUUUAUUAGGUUUAAAAGCUUGUAAAUUAAUAGAGUAGUUCUGAGAGCUUCAGGAUAUACCUGCCUGAAAAAAUAGCAAUGGUGACUUGAUGUGUGAUUUGUCUUUGCUUUUAGUUUGCAGAAUGCAUCUGAGAGACAAGAUUCCUGCUAGCCAAUUUAUUUUUCAGAUAACAAGGACUGUCUGGAAGUACAUUCAGAAGGAAAACACAGUAAUUAAUUUGUCACUGAAACCUGAGGGGUCCUCUUCCUCAUAUAGGUGAUAAUGAAGGUUUUGCAUGUAAUUAGCAGGAAUAAUUAGCACGUUUCUGGUAACAAAUAGACGGAGUGGUUCUCUGCAAAUAAAUUAAUUGUUGUGCUAACACAGGCAAUUGUCUCCUUAUUGUCUGACAAUGGCCCUUGUUUGCACUAAAGCUUAUUUCAGUCCUUAGCAGCUUUACACAAAUAGGAAAGAGAAUCUAUAAAAUUGUGCCUCAUCCAUCUGCUUCUGAGAAACUUCAAGACCACCAGGGGACUUGUUUGUCAAGGCUUGUUAAACAAUUUGUAAUCUUGAACAUGUGUUUCAGUAUAUUAACAAAUGAAUUGUUCAAAUUAACUUAGUGGGCAAGCCAGGAAAACCACAGUAAUCAAUCAAGUCCCGAGUCUGGGCAUCUUGGAGCAGAAAUCUCUGAAAAAUAAUACAGCAGUAAAGUCACAGCAAAGCUAUAUGGGAGCCGAAUGAAUCCCAGAACGUUACAUGUAGCCAUGCAGCAAAGCGGGACUGUUACGGAGUUACGCUGCUCAUAGUGCGAAAUCACAUUGUGAUGUAUGUGCCCUUAGAGUCACCGCGGUGAAGAACCUCGGUCAGACAGCCGGUACAGCCUGCACGUGUUCCUUUCUGAAGAGCUGAAAGGAUCAAACAUUCCCUGAAGUGUGGUAGAAGGCAGGAAGAAUGACACUUGCUAAUUUGAAUUUCAGAACACACCUAAACCGCAUUCUGAUCUCCAGGUUUGUGUGCAGGAACACAGUGUGUGUUAUAGAAGAUGGCCCAUUCUUUUGGACUGCUUUAGAACAGUGAAUUCCAGUUGCCAGACCUGCUUGUAUGUGGAAGCACUAAGCAUACAGAAAAGCAUUACAUGGUUCGUGGACCUGGGCUGUCAGCUGGAAGAAAAAUGAACGUAAAAGCUUGAACCUUUGGAAUUUUUUAGGAGCAGUGUGGUCCCUCUGCUUCAGCACCUGUGCCCCCUCUCAAAAGGAGCAGUGCUAACCUACCAGAGUCCACAUACUGUAAAGUUGGGACAUCCAUUGAAUCCAAUGUUCUUGGUUCUGAAGACCCUUGGACCCACCUAGCAUGGCUAUAGACUUUGAGGUCUGGCACUCAUUGGGAUAUCUGUGGACAACAUUCCACUUCACAGGGUAGGUUUCUGCAAGCUAAAAAGAAAAAAAAGAACAACCCCCAAACAAAACUGUAAACGAAAUGAAGGAAGUGGAGGCAGCUUCAAGCUUCAGCUUACUGCAGUACCCUCGGAUUUGAUCAGCUUAAUAUGUGACUCUGAGGAUAUGCUGAGUGAAAAGGAAAAAAAUAUGUUUGAAGAAGCUUCUAGGAAGUAAACGUUUCCAUGAGGAACAAUAUGAUAUCUCAAGGAAAACCUGCCUUAAGAUUAUUGGAGGGACUGAAUAAACACAGCAAGGCUGCAGUUAGACACAAAGCUGCAUCUUAGUCUGAAAAUCCUGGAGGUCUCCAGAUAAAUACACCACCUUAACAAUCCUGGUUUUGAAGAACUAUUGUAUGCUAUGGAAUAACAAGCCUGCUUUGGUUCUCCUGUGUUUUCAUGCAGUAUGGAAGAUAUCACAAAUCAUCUGUCCAGAUGCAGAAGUCUGUAUUUAUAAACUUCUGAUAAUGUCGGUUCACAUGAGCUCAGGUUCUGAAUGUCUUAAACUCUCUUCAUAUCUGGCAAAGUCAACGCUGUGAUUCAUCAUUCCACCCUGAUUUAGUAAUCUAAAACAGAUCAAUUAAGCUUCAGGCAGUGAGAAAUGUUUAGAAAGGACAGUAGAAUCUGAAAGACAGAUAAAGUAUAUCCCAUCCUGUAUUCUAGUGCAAUAAAGAUGUUUUGUUACACUAUGAAAAUCCAAUAUUAAUUGCAAAAGGAAAGGAGUGCUUAUAAUAUACAUUACCUUAACUGGAAUAUGUUUGCUUUAUGCUGAAACUUAUUACUAUUUUUAUUUCUAGCAAUUUUUUUUUUUUUUUUUUUGGCACUUAAGUAAACUUAGAAUGAAGAAAUUUUAAAGCAAUGGUUCCGACAGCCAAAAUGAAAGCAGAAAUAAAAGGUUUUGGAGAGAAUAUAGAGAGGACUAGCAUGUAUGAUUAAGGGGGACAGAGAAACUUAUUUAUGAAGAAAGAUUAAAGGAGUAAAAUAUGUGUAUGUACAUUGGAGAUUAACUAAGUGGCUCAUAAGAAGCAUAACUAUCUUCAAGUAUUUGAUGCAUGUAAACACCAAGAAUGGAGAGGAAAUGAUUAUUUGGAUGCACUUAAAUGGGGAAAGAUUCUGACUUUAAAGUCUGAUACUGUUUUGCUUCAAUGUUGCCAGGAAAGAUCUAUAUGCUGAAAGAGGACGACACUGGAAAGGGAAAAAUUUAUACACUGGAAGAAGCAUGAAGCCAAAAGGAUUUCAGAAAUUAUUCAAAAACACUAUAAAUUUUAAUACCAAAUAAGAGUUAUGUAAACUUUUGAACCAGCCUAUAAAACUCAAUAGAACAGUAUGACAGCACUAAACUGGUAAUGGAUUCAAUUUCUUGUUAAAGUUUUCUUUUCCCACAAGAAAAUAAAAUGCACCAUUUUGAAAGAUCCUGGAAGAUGAAGUGAUCAGCUGGUUGACCUAAGAUGACAAACUAGUUCCUUUCCAUGUAUGAAUUUGAUGCUCUGCAAAUAUCCUAGUAAAUGCUGGCCCCAGAAAGUGGUUCACUCAGUCUGUUACACACUUUGACAGGUUAUAUAGCAGUUAAUAAUUAAGUGAAAGGAAGUUCUGUAUAAAAAAAUCUGCCAUCAUUAUGUUCCAACUCUCUAUGUAGAGUCCACUGGUGUGGCUAUAAGUGGUAUCUUUGCUGACCAAUAGCACUGCUGGCAAACUAUCAGGUAAUUGUAAGUAUGUAUUUACCAGAGAAAAAAAGACCGGUUUACGUGCUUCUGUUUGUGAGACACAGUUGUGGCUGUACUGCUCUGCUGUGCUGAGCCCAGAUCCUCUAUCUUGCUGUAGGAUAAGCCUUGUUCUACCUAUAUCUAGGCAGAAAUUUGUUUAAAAGAGUCACAUGAAGAAUCCAUGUUCUUUAGUCAUUUAUAUAGUUUGUCAGAACAAGAUUUAAAUAUUGUCAGUCAUCUUGAAUUAUAACUAGUUUACAGCUUGUGCUCUGAACCCAUCCAUCCUUUUGAUCUUUUUACCUUAAGAAUGCAACUAUGUGGGAAAUAACUUUAAAGUGAAUGAUACACAUCUGACAGACUUUAAGGAAAAAUAAGUAAGAAUUCAGAAACAUUCCAUGUAAAGAAAAAAAAAUGUACCUUUUUAGAAAUGAACUGUUGUGCUCAUUCAUUGCAGAAUUUAAGUAAGAGUAAUGUUUUACCUCCUUCUUAGCAGCAAAGAAGCAACAUCAGAUGAGGGAGACGUAUCUGCACAUUUUUACAUCUCACAAAUAAUCAGCAGGUUAGAGACAAUAAAACAACUUACCUAAAAU